GAUGAACGCUGGCGGCGUGCCUAAUACAUGCAAGUCGAGCGAACGGACGAGAAGCUUGCUUCUCUGAUGUUAGCGGCGGACGGGUGAGUAACACGUGGAUAACCUACCUAUAAGACUGGGAUAACUUCGGGAAACCGUAGCUAAUACCGGAUAAUAUUUUGAACCGCAUGGUUCAAAAGUGAAAGACGGUCUUGCUGUCACUUAUAGAUGGAUCCGCGCUGCAUUAGCUAGUUGGUAAGGUAACGGCUUACCAAGGCAACGAUGCAUAGCCGACCUGAGAGGGUGAUCGGCCACACUGGAACUGAGACACGGUCCAGACUCCUACGGGAGGCAGCAGUAGGGAAUCUUCCGCAAUGGGCGAAAGCCUGACGGAGCAACGCCGCGUGAGUGAUGAAGGUCUUCGGAUCGUAAAACUCUGUUAUUAGGGAAGAACAUAUGUGUAAGUAACUGUGCACAUCUUGACGGUACCUAAUCAGAAAGCCACGGCUAACUACGUGCCAGCAGCCGCAGUAAUACGUAGGUGGCAAGCGUUAUCCGGAAUUAUUGGGCGUAAAGCGCGCGUAGGCGGUUUUUUAAGUCUGAUGUGAAAGCCCACGGCUCAACCGUGGAGGGUCAUUGGAAACUGGAAAACUUGAGUGCAGAAGAGGAAAGUGGAAUUCCAUGUGUAGCGGUGAAAUGCGCAGAGAUAUGGAGGAACACCAGUGGCGAAGGCGACUUUCUGGUCUGUAACUGACGCUGAUGUGCGAAAGCGUGGGGAUCAAACAGGAUUAGAUACCCUGGUAGUCCACGCCGUAAACGAUGAGUGCUAAGUGUUAGGGGGUUUCCGCCCCUUAGUGCUGCAGCUAACGCAUUAAGCACUCCGCCUGGGGAGUACGACCGCAAGGUUGAAACUCAAAGGAAUUGACGGGGACCCGCACAAGCGGUGGAGCAUGUGGUUUAAUUCGAAGCAACGCGAAGAACCUUACCAAAUCUUGACAUCCUUUGACAACUCUAGAGAUAGAGCCUUCCCCUUCGGGGGACAAAGUGACAGGUGGUGCAUGGUUGUCGUCAGCUCGUGUCGUGAGAUGUUGGGUUAAGUCCCGCAACGAGCGCAACCCUUAAGCUUAGUUGCCAUCAUUAAGUUGGGCACUCUAAGUUGACUGCCGGUGACAAACCGGAGGAAGGUGGGGAUGACGUCAAAUCAUCAUGCCCCUUAUGAUUUGGGCUACACACGUGCUACAAUGGACAAUACAAAGGGCAGCGAAACCGCGAGGUCAAGCAAAUCCCAUAAAGUUGUUCUCAGUUCGGAUUGUAGUCUGCAACUCGACUACAUGAAGCUGGAAUCGCUAGUAAUCGUAGAUCAGCAUGCUACGGUGAAUACGUUCCCGGGUCU
Molecule: ribosomal RNA, 1372 nt
Filed under: uncultured bacterium
Lineage: Bacteria
Description: bacterial SSU rRNA
Rfam family: Bacterial small subunit ribosomal RNA
Source: RNAcentral